Molecule: long non-coding RNA, 838 nt
Organism: Hordeum vulgare subsp. vulgare (domesticated barley)
Lineage: Eukaryota; Viridiplantae; Streptophyta; Magnoliopsida; Poales; Poaceae
Exons: 2
Source: RefSeq, a predicted model, not a curated record
CCUAUCUCCACAGUCCAGAUUCGUCCCCCUCGACUCCCCUCCCACCUCUCCUGCCGCCAGCCUUCCUUCCCCUCACCAGAUCCCAUGUGCUCCCGUUUGCCACAGCAGGACCCUGCACUCCCUUCUCCACCUCUCCCGUCAACCUCCCAGCCACAAUCCCCUAUACCCCAUUCACUGCGGCAGGCCCCGACAAUGGCGUCGGCGGAUCUGGCUGCCACUAGGUGAUCCCCUCCUUCCGCCGUGCAUCUGAUGCGAGUGGUCAUCGGUGCUCACACUGUCGGAGAGGAAGACAUCCCGUCACCGGCUCUGUCUGCCUCAUCUAGCAGCACGGUGCCUCUGGACAUGGGGGUGGCAAUAUGGAGCCGCAACCUCCCCUCCAACUAGGACCGAUUCAAGGAAGAACCUAAGGCGGACGACGCUGCCGAAUGGGCCGGCGAGGUGGCGCCGCGGAGCAAGAGCACCGAAUUCGCCUUCCUUCUCGAGCAGGCCCGGGCGCAGCCCCCCGAGGAGCGGGGCCUCGGCGCGGCCAGUCGGCUCACUUCCAAGGACUCAACAUUUGGCGGCAAUGGUAGGAGUGGCAGAUUAUGCAGAGGAAGAGGAUGAGAAGAAACUUGUGCUUCUCAUCCAAGCUUUGUAGAACUCUCUUGUUGUGCGAUUAUGCACUUGUUCGAUCCUCUUUCUGUGCACUUGCACUUGCAGAAGUAUUCUUUUGUGCAUUGUAAAAUUUAUUUGAUGUGCACUUGUUAGGCCUUGAACCUUGAUGUGUAGAGGAGUCAUGGAUGAUGUAUCCUAUGUCAUGUGAUGUGCUACUGAAAUGAAAUAUAUAGUUUAUUUGCAA